GAUGAACGCUGGCGGCGUGCUUAACACAUGCAAGUCGAACGAGAAAUGUAGACGGAAACCUUCGGGCGGAAGCCUUCAUUUCGAGUGGCGGACGGGUGAGUAACGCGUGGGUAACCUGCCUCAUACAGGGGGAUAACAGUUGGAAACGACUGUUAAUACCGCAUAAGACCACAGCAUCGCAUGAUGCGGGGGUAAAAACUCCGGUGGUAUGAGAUGGACCCGCGUUCGAUUAGCCAGUUGGCGGGGUAACGGCCCACCAAAGCGACGAUCGAUAGCCGAUCUGAGAGGAUGACCGGCCACAUUGGGACUGAGACACGGCCCAAACUCCUACGGGAGGCAGCAGUGGGGAAUAUUGCACAAUGGGGGAAACCCUGAUGCAGCGACGCCGCGUGAGUGAAGAAGUACUUCGGUAUGUAAAGCUCUAUCAGCAGGGAAGAAAAUGACAGUACCUGAGUAAGAAGCCCCGGCUAACUACGUG
This 478-nucleotide ribosomal RNA is filed under the name uncultured bacterium. RNAcentral's name for it is "partial 16S ribosomal RNA". It matches the Rfam family "Bacterial small subunit ribosomal RNA", at positions 28 to 507 of the family's 1533-position model. The record is from RNAcentral.